Molecule: non-coding RNA, 184 nt
Filed under: Ruminiclostridium cellulolyticum
Lineage: Bacteria; Bacillati; Bacillota; Clostridia; Eubacteriales; Oscillospiraceae
Also listed under: 1 other name
Description: Clostridium cellulolyticum Lysine sequence
Rfam family: Lysine riboswitch aptamer
About the family: Riboswitches are metabolite binding domains within certain messenger RNAs that serve as precision sensors for their corresponding targets.
Source: RNAcentral
AUGUAAGAUAGAGGUGCGUUUUUUAAGAGUAUGGACAAUGAGGAUUCUGGGGCCUAAUGAUUUGUUCUGAAAGGGAAAAACGCCGAAGGCAAUACUGCACCCCCGAGCAACGUAAUGCCUGGUUUCAAGGUCAAUAGCCUUGUGACUGUCAUCAUUUAUUAUGUGGUGGAGCGCUAUCUGUUUA